RNAcentral lists this ribosomal RNA (253 nucleotides) under uncultured bacterium. RNAcentral describes it as "partial 16S ribosomal RNA". It matches the Rfam family "Bacterial small subunit ribosomal RNA", at positions 524 to 776 of the family's 1533-position model. The record is from RNAcentral.
UACAUGUGGGGCAAGCGUUGUUCGGAAUUACUGGGCAUAAAGGGUGCGUAGGCGGCUUGUUAAGUCAGGGGUGAAAGUUUUCGGCUCAACCGGAAAAUGGCCUCUGAUACUGGCGAGCUCGAGUGCGUGAGGGGUGACUGGAACGAGCAGUGUAGCGGUGAAAUGCGUAGAUAUUGCUCGGAAGGCCAACGGCGAAGGCAGGUCACUGGUACGCAACUGACGCUGAGGCACGAAAGCGUGGGGAGCAAACAGG